UUUUAUAUUUUAUUUUAGAUUUCGUCAAAGUGACGAUGUUUUUAUCGGAGUUUGGAAAAAACUCCACUGCCUACAAAGUAGUAGUAGUAGUGGAGUUUCAAAAAAAGCGAAUCUUUCGAUUCUUUUUUAAUGAUCCUUCCGCAGGUUCACCUACGGAAA
RNAcentral lists this unclassified non-coding RNA (159 nucleotides) under uncultured fungus. RNAcentral's name for it is "sequence contains ITS1". Lineage: Eukaryota; Fungi. The record is from RNAcentral.